This 459-nucleotide ribosomal RNA is filed under the name uncultured bacterium. RNAcentral's name for it is "bacterial SSU rRNA". It matches the Rfam family "Bacterial small subunit ribosomal RNA", at positions 52 to 507 of the family's 1533-position model. The record is from RNAcentral.
UACAUGCAAGUCAACUGAAGCACCGGUAGUAAUACUGGUGUGGAGGGUGGCGCACGGGUGAGUAACACGUAGGUAAUCUGCCUUCAGGUCUGACAUAACCCCGAGAAAAUUGGGGCUAAUAGCAGAUGAUGCAGCGGCUUGACAUCAAGACAGUUGUUAAAGCUUCGGCGCCUGAAGAUGAGCCUGCGUCUGAUUAGCUAGUUGGCGGAGUAAUGGCCCACCAAGGCUACGAUCAGUAACUGGUCUGAGAGGAUGAUCAGUCACACUGGAACUGAGACACGGUCCAGACUCCUACGGGAGGCAGCAGUAAGGAAUAUUGCUCAAUGGGAGAAAUCCUGAAGCAGCAACGCCGCGUGAGGGAUGAAGGGCUUUUGCUCGUAAACCUCUGUAGUGAGGGAAAAAAUUUCCACUCUGUGGAAUAUGAUGGUACCUCAAAAGUAAGCCCCGGCUAACUACGUG